Molecule: ribosomal RNA, 253 nt
Filed under: uncultured bacterium
Lineage: Bacteria
Description: partial 16S ribosomal RNA
Rfam family: Bacterial small subunit ribosomal RNA
Source: RNAcentral
UACGGGGGGGGCAAGCGUUGUUCGGAAUUACUGGGCGUAAAGGGCUCGUAGGCGGCCAACUAAGUCAGACGUGAAAUCCCUCGGCUUAACCGGGGAACUGCGUCUGAUACUGGAUGGCUGGAGUUUGGGAGAGGGAUGCGGAAUUCCAGGUGUAGCGGUGAAAUGCGUAGAUAUCUGGAGGAACACCGGUGGCGAAGGCGGCAUCCUGGACCAACACUGACGCUGAUGAGCGAAAGCCAGGGGAGCAAACGGG